Pangasianodon hypophthalmus (striped catfish) is the source of this 1292-nucleotide long non-coding RNA. RefSeq lists it as uncharacterized. The record is from RefSeq and is a predicted model, not a curated record. The transcript is spliced from 3 exons. Lineage: Eukaryota; Metazoa; Chordata; Actinopteri; Siluriformes; Pangasiidae.
UGGGGUAUCUGGGUCACUAUUUUGUGUGAUCUGGUUUCCAUAUGUGUGCAUUGAGUUGUGUCUUCAUUCUUGGUAUUAAUUUAAAAAUGUUUUAAGUGGAUGUUGGACUCAUCAAGGAUGUGUCCUGUCUCCUUGUGCUUAUCAUGGAGACGAUAUCAAGAUACAGCUAAUGUUGGAGAGGUGUAAAGUAUGGGGGUUAGAAGUAACAUCCCUGUUAUUUGUAGAUGAUGUGUGGUGUAGCUCCCUGCAUAAGACCAUUGACCACACCCACAUCUGCUGGAUUCUUCUUCCUGCCAAAGAAAAUGGCCUUCAGCCAUGUUUGGAUUGCAGGUGCUUGAAACAAGUAAAGUACUGGUACUUAUGAUCCUUUGUCCCUUCAUCUUUUGACUGAAUAAGAAAUUUCAGUGACUAAGGAAUUCACCAAGCUUGAUCUUAAGAGUGCCUACAACCAGCAAUGCAUUCAGGAGGCGGGUCAGGUCAGCAGCUUUAUAUUCGAUCAAAAUGGAAGAGCAGUGGCUACAAGAAAAUCGACUGGAAAUCGAUUAUGACCAGUUGAAGUCAUGGGGCUUGAAGUUGCAUCAGGAACGCAAUCGACAACAGACUAAGCUGCUGUGCGGAUCUGGUGCUACACCGUGUUCCCUAGACUGACAGGCCAGCAGCCCAGCACAGACCUUACACACACGCCAGAUGUGACACACUCAUUUUCCCCCAGUAACAUGUUGGCCAUUUUUAAAUAGUGGGAAAGCUAGCAAGCAUUAUGUCUCAGAGACAUCACUAUAGUGAGAUAAAUUCACCUGUACUAAAAAAAAAAAUCACAUUUAAUUUUUUUUUAACACUAACAGAUAACAAAUCAAUGUUGAGUCAAUGUUUCCGAUAUUACUUAAAUGAUUAUUUAUUAGAUUUAUUAGAAGGGUCAACAGCAGGACUUAACAGAGCCUUCAUGGACAAGUAUUAUUGCAAGUCUUUCAGAUUUAAUAUUACAGAUAAUUAAUAUUAUUAAUUACUAUUUCUUUAUAUUUAUUUCCUAUGAUGUGUUGUAAUGCUAGGAGCUGACUGCUUUUGUACAUGGUAUAAUGUUUGGAUAUUAUUUGGAUGUGAUCUGUAUGUGUGGUGACAGUUGACUUCUCAUCUGAUGAAACUUUUUUUCUUUUUUUUUUUCACAUUCCAUGGUAAUGUAUGUUUAUUGCCAUAUGACACAUAACAACAACAACAACAACAACAACAAUCAUCAACAUCAUCAUCACAAAAAUCCACUCUACAAAUAAAAUUGAACUAAAUGGGCUUAAUGUGUA